This 253-nucleotide ribosomal RNA is filed under the name uncultured bacterium. Its description in RNAcentral is "partial 16S ribosomal RNA". It matches the Rfam family "Bacterial small subunit ribosomal RNA", at positions 524 to 776 of the family's 1533-position model. The record is from RNAcentral.
UACGUAGGGUGCAAGCGUUGUCCGGAAUUAUUGGGCGUAAAGAGCUCGUAGGCGGCUCGUCGCGUCGACCGUGAAAACCCGCGGCUUAACUGCGGGCUUGCGGUUGAUACGGGCGGGCUAGAGUUCGGUAGGGGAGACUGGAAUUCCUGGUGUAGCGGUGAAAUGCGCAGAUAUCAGGAAGAACACCCGUGGCUAAGGCGGCUCUCUAGUACGGUACUGACGCUGAGACGCGAAAGCGUGGGGAGUGAACAGG